UCUUCCGUGGCGCAAUUGGCUAGCGCGUCUGACUGUUACAACUGUUCCUGAAAAGGAGCAGCUAGCAAUCAGGAGGUUGACAGUUCAAGCCUGUCCGGGAGAG
This is a non-coding RNA of Phyllosticta capitalensis, 103 nucleotides long. Lineage: Eukaryota; Fungi; Ascomycota; Dothideomycetes; Botryosphaeriales; Phyllostictaceae. The record is from the annotation of a GenBank genome assembly.